AGUGAACGCUGGCGGUAGGCCUAGCACAUGCAAGUCGAACGGCAGCACAGUAAGAGCUUGCUCUUACGGGUGGCGAGUGGCGGACGGGUGAGGAAUACAUCGGAAUCUACUUUUUCGUGGGGGAUAACGUGGGGAAACUUACGCUAAUACCGCAUACGACCUACGGGUGAAAGCAGGGGAUCUUCGGACCUUUCGCGAUUGAAUGAGCCGAUGUCGGAUUAGCUAGUUGGCGGGGUAAAGGCCCACCAAGGCGACGAUCCGUAGCUGGUCUGAGAGGAUGAUCAGCCACACUGGAACUGAGACACGGUCCAGACUCCUACGGGAGGCAGCAGUGGGGAAUAUUGGACAAUAGGCGCAAGCCUGAUCCAGCCAUACCGCGUGGGUGAAGAAGGCCUUCGGGUUGUAAAGCCCUUUUGUUGGGAAAGAAAAGCAGCAGGUUAAUACCCCGCUGUUCUGACGGUACCCAAAGAAUAAGCACCGGCUAACUUCGUG
RNAcentral lists this ribosomal RNA (492 nucleotides) under uncultured bacterium. RNAcentral describes it as "partial 16S ribosomal RNA". It matches the Rfam family "Bacterial small subunit ribosomal RNA", at positions 29 to 507 of the family's 1533-position model. The record is from RNAcentral.